CGUAGGUGGCAAGCGUUGUCCGGAUUUAUUGGGUUUAAAGGGUGCGUAGGCGGCCCUGUAAGUCAGUGGUGAAAUAUCUCAGCUUAACUGAGAGGGUGCCAUUGAUACUGCGGGGCUUGAGUACAGAUGAGGUAGGCGGAAUUGACGGUGUAGCGGUGAAAUGCAUAGAUAUCGUCAAGAACUCCGAUAGCGAAGGCAGCUUACUAAGCUGUAACUGACGCUGAGGCACGAAAGUGUGGGGAUCAAACAGGAUUAGAUACCCUGGUAGUCCACACUGUAAACGUUGAUGACUCGAUGUUGGCGAUACACAGCCAGCGUCCAAGAGCAAUCGUUAAGUCAUCCACCUGGGGGGUACGCCGGCAACGGUG
This 368-nucleotide ribosomal RNA is filed under the name uncultured organism. RNAcentral's name for it is "bacterial SSU rRNA". It matches the Rfam family "Bacterial small subunit ribosomal RNA", at positions 526 to 896 of the family's 1533-position model. The record is from RNAcentral.